GUCCUCGUAGCUCAGUUGGAUAGAGCAAUCGCCUUCUAAGCGAUCGGUCGAGGGUUCGAAUCCCCCCGAGGACGCCA
RNAcentral lists this transfer RNA (77 nucleotides) under Catenisphaera adipataccumulans. Its description in RNAcentral is "tRNA-Arg". It matches the Rfam family "tRNA". Rfam says of the family: Transfer RNA (tRNA) molecules are approximately 80 nucleotides in length. Lineage: Bacteria; Bacillati; Bacillota; Erysipelotrichia; Erysipelotrichales; Erysipelotrichaceae. The record is from RNAcentral.